CCAGACUCCUACGGGAGGCAGCAGUGAGGAAUAUUGGUCAAUGGGCGGGAGCCUGAACCAGCCAAGUCGCGUGAGGGAAGACGGUCCUACGGAUUGUAAACCUCUUUUGCCGGGGAGCAACGGGGUCCUUGCGAGGGCCCGAUGAGAGUACCCGGAGAAAAAGCAUCGGCUAACUCCGUGCCAGCAGCCGCGGUAAUACGUAGGGAGCAAGCGUUGUCCGGAUUUACUGGGUGUAAAGGGUGCGUAGGCGGCUUUGCAAGUCAGAAGUGAAAUCCAUGGGCUUAACCCAUGAACUGCUUUUGAAACUGCAGAGCUUGAGUGGAGUAGAGGUAGGCGGAAUUCCCGGUGUAGCGGUGAAAUGCGUAGAGAUCGGGAGGAACACCAGUGGCGAAGGCGGCCUGCUGGGCUCUAACUGACGCUGAGGCACGAAAGCGUGGGUAGCAAACAGGAUUAGAUACCCGGGUAU
RNAcentral lists this ribosomal RNA (466 nucleotides) under uncultured bacterium. RNAcentral's name for it is "partial 16S ribosomal RNA". It matches the Rfam family "Bacterial small subunit ribosomal RNA", at positions 331 to 793 of the family's 1533-position model. The record is from RNAcentral.